GGCAGUUCUCGGGUGACGCGCCCCGGAAUUGGGCUCCCUCCUCUCUGGUUCUGGGUGCGUCACCCAAGAACGAAGCU
Myotis brandtii (Brandt's bat) is the source of this 77-nucleotide non-coding RNA. The record is from Rfam. NCBI's taxonomy places the organism in Eukaryota, Metazoa, Chordata, Mammalia, Chiroptera, Vespertilionidae.